CAAAACGAAACCUUCUCUUUAAAAAGGAAAGAAAGUACUAUCGAUACAGAAAGCAAAAGUAUUUCCAGUCUCCUACUGAACUGUCACGGCAGACCUCUCUGUAUCUAUAUUUAGAGCUGUAUGUCCAUAUAUUUGCCUGAAUGUGUGAGUUCUUGGAAGUAUGGAUUCAUUGCCAGGAGCUGGUGAUUUCCUAAGCAGAGGUCGCUAACUACAAGAAAUGUUACACUCGGACAAGUCCUGCGCUUGGGGAUCCUCUGUACGCCCGUUCACUGGUGCAGGUCUUCUGAACAAAUGCCUCCUGAGGAUUUCUGUGCCUGGAAAAUAUCUGUUAACAGACUGCUUUUACACCUACGCUUGCACCCUCACGACAUGCUCUCUCUCUCUCCCUCUCCUCUUUUCUCUCUUCUCUCCCUUCUCUCCUCUCUCUUAUCUCUCUCUUCUCUCUCUCGUACACAUACUCUGGAAAGCCAGCUACCAUACUGGGAACUGCCCAAUGGAGAGGCCCACAUUCCACAAGGAACUGAUGUCUUCAGCCAAUACCUCGCCAGGACCUGAGGCCUGCUGAGAGUCACGAGUGGCCUUCGUGGGUCCUCUCUCAACGAGCUUGCAGGUGACCACUGCGCCAGCCAAAACCUUGAUGGCAGCCUAUGACUACCUGUAAGAAGAAUCAAGAUAAAGAAUUCAUGAAUGAUAAAAACACUUUGAAAAGACUGGUGGUUCCAUAAAAGCUGACUUUGUGCCUGGAACAUUGGAAGUGACCCGUCAGUGCUUACUGAAUGAAUAGGCAAAUGAACAAAACCUCCUGCAAUACAGCUUUCUUACCAUGCCUCAAGAGACUCUUCAGUCCAUCCUACUGUAGUUGCUUUUGAUUGGGUUCUCCCUGAGUACUGACCCUAGGCCCAGAUUCAGAGAUUUCUCCAAAAAAAGAGCUUCUUUCAAAGACAUCAUUCCUAUUGUCAACCCUGUUGGCAUAGACACAAAAUGUAAACGUUGGACAAAGGCAAUACUUGCUGUGACAAAGGCGAUAUUUGUUGUAACAAAACACAAAUGUCUGUCCAUCAGUGGGGAACGAGAAUGCUGGGAUUUGAAGAGGCCAAAAAAAUAAUACUGCUCUCUCUUUUGAGAAAGAGAGGGGAUUUUUUUUUUUUUUUUGAAAAGCCAUAAGCUUAGGACAGAUGAAAUUCAAAAUCCACACUAAACUUCACUGGAGAAUGUAAGCAAAAUAUGAGGCCACAGGUGAGCUUUCUAUUUCCUUCCUCCACUCUCCAAGAUGGCCCAUUGAUAUUUGGCUGUGUCCCCAAAUCUCAUCUUGAAUUGUAGUUCCUGUAAUCCCCAUGUGUCAUGGGAGGGAUCCAGUGGGAGGUAAUUGAAUCAUGGGAGCAGUUACUCCCUUGCUGUUCUGUGAUAGUGAAUGAGAUCUCAUGAGAUCUGAUGGUUUUAUAAGGGCCUUUUUCCCCUUUGCUUGGCACUUCUCCGUCCUGCCAUCAUGUGAAGAGGGAUGUGUUUGCUUCCCCUUCUGCCAUGAUUGUAAGUUUCCUGAGGCCUCCCCAACCAUGUGGAACUGUGAGUCAAUUAAACCUCUUUCUUUCAUAAGUUACCCAGUCUCAGGCAGUUCUUUAUAGCAGCGUGAGAACAGACUAAUACGCCCACCCAGGAUUCAGUCUCCCACCUGCAGAAGCAGAGGUCCCCCAGUCACUGUACUCCUGGCAUCUUUGACGGCCAGCCACUGGGACUAAAAGCUCAAAGAGGGCAGGGCCGCUUAUGCCUAGUUUCUUCUCCUAGUUUCAACAGUAAGAUAAAUCAUUCCCACCUAGGGGAGAGAAUGAAGUCUGGAAUCACUAAUAGUGUUAUACCCUGGGAAUGUAAGUUCCCUCAUGCAACAUGAGGGGGAGGAAUAAGAUUUCCACCAGAUAAAUAAAUAAAUAGUCUGUGGUGCACCCAAUGUUAUGUUAUAUAUCUAUUUACAAGAAUACAGUCAG
This 1979-nucleotide long non-coding RNA is filed under the name Homo sapiens (human). RNAcentral describes it as "HSALNT0129046". Lineage: Eukaryota; Metazoa; Chordata; Mammalia; Primates; Hominidae. The record is from RNAcentral.